Molecule: non-coding RNA, 72 nt
Organism: Phrynosoma platyrhinos (Desert horned lizard)
Lineage: Eukaryota; Metazoa; Chordata; Lepidosauria; Squamata; Phrynosomatidae
Source: the annotation of a GenBank genome assembly
GCCAGCAUGGUGUAGUGGUUUGUGUGUUGGACUGGGACGCUGGGAGACCAGGGUUCGAAUCCCUGCUUGGCC